GAAGGAUCUGUGUUUGUUAUUGUUUUGAUUUGAUCAAGAUAGCAGAUGCUGCAUUGAACUCUAGUAGUAACUUAGUAAUAGGCUUUGUGCUAUUCACAUUCUGGGAAAACACAUGGCGAAUCCAGUACCACGACAGAACAACUACAGGAUUGCACAACCAGACUUUCUCUGCCACCAACCUAUAUUUCACGGGAUGCUUACAAGUGAUAGGCCAUGGUCAAUAUCCAAAAUCAUUAUUUUAUAUUUUACUAUCUGUGCCAAAUUAAUUUGUCUGGUAACAUUGUAAUGUCAUGGUACUGCCAAUAAUAAUCUUAUAGAUACACUUCAAGAAAAUGGAAUGGUGUACAUUCGAAUGUGAAAACCCACUGUCAUAAAAUGUUUAUUGAAGUGUAUGACACUUGUAUCCCAUGUGCUGGAGUUACUGUUGUAAUGAAUGUGAUUUUUUAGUAUGACAUGUUAAAAACAACUGCAGCAAAAUAAAUUUGAUUAUUGCAAAAGGA
Schistocerca gregaria is the source of this 500-nucleotide long non-coding RNA. RefSeq lists it as uncharacterized. NCBI's taxonomy places the organism in Eukaryota, Metazoa, Arthropoda, Insecta, Orthoptera, Acrididae. The record is from RefSeq and is a predicted model, not a curated record. The transcript is spliced from 2 exons.